This 163-nucleotide small RNA is filed under the name pig gut metagenome. RNAcentral describes it as "Clostridiales-1 RNA". It matches the Rfam family "Clostridiales-1 RNA". The record is from RNAcentral.
AUAUAAAGGUCAAAAGUCUUUUUACAUGAUAUGCUUGCAUAUCAGUGGGAGAAAGACUUUAUGGCCCGCCCACACAUGAGCAAGUAGUGAUUUUCCUUAGAAAAUCAACGGAUUGCGAAUGUGUGUAGAAUUGCGCAGGUUGCAUUGCAACGGAGCAAUUCGU